UAAUGGCCUGGGCCUAUGGUUUUCCC
This 26-nucleotide non-coding RNA is filed under the name Mus musculus (house mouse). The record is from RNAcentral. Lineage: Eukaryota; Metazoa; Chordata; Mammalia; Rodentia; Muridae.